RNAcentral lists this transfer RNA (77 nucleotides) under Sphingomonadales bacterium. RNAcentral describes it as "tRNA-Arg". It matches the Rfam family "tRNA". Rfam says of the family: Transfer RNA (tRNA) molecules are approximately 80 nucleotides in length. Their secondary structure includes four short double-helical elements and three loops (D, anti-codon, and T loops). Further hydrogen bonds mediate the characteristic L-shaped molecular structure. tRNAs have two regions of fundamental functional importance: the anti-codon, which is responsible for specific mRNA codon recognition, and the 3' end, to which the tRNAs corresponding amino acid is attached (by aminoacyl-tRNA synthetases). tRNAs cope with the degeneracy of the genetic code in two manners: having more than one tRNA (with a specific anti-codon) for a particular amino acid; and 'wobble' base-pairing, i.e. permitting non-standard base-pairing at the 3rd anti-codon position. Lineage: Bacteria; Pseudomonadati; Pseudomonadota; Alphaproteobacteria; Sphingomonadales. The record is from RNAcentral.
GCGCCCGUAGCUCAGCCGGAUAGAGCACGAGCCUUCUAAGCUUGGGGUCAGAGGUUCGAGUCCUCUCGGGCGCGCCA